This 253-nucleotide ribosomal RNA is filed under the name uncultured bacterium. RNAcentral describes it as "partial 16S ribosomal RNA". It matches the Rfam family "Bacterial small subunit ribosomal RNA", at positions 524 to 776 of the family's 1533-position model. The record is from RNAcentral.
UACGGGGGGGGCAAGCGUUGUUCGGAAUUACUGGGCGUAAAGGGCGCGUAGGCGGCCUGCUAAGUCGGACGUGAAAUCCCUCGGCCUAACCGAGGAACUGCCUUUGAAACUGCUUGGCUUGAGGCCGGGAGAGGGUAGCGGAAUUCCCAGUGUAGCGGUGAAAUGCGUAGAUAUUGGGAGGAACACCAGUGGCGAAGGCGGCUACCUGGACCGGUUCUGACGCUGAGGCGCGAAAGCGUGGGGAGCAAACAGG